AGGAUAAACGCUGGCGGCGUGCCUAACACAUGCAAGUCGAACGCGCUUGCUAUCCGCGAGGACGGUGAGCGAGUGGCGGACGGGUGAGGAACACGUGGGUGACCUACCUUUCAGUGAGGGAUACCGGCGAGAAGUUGCCGACAAGACCGCAUACGCUUCUCUUUUCAAGGGGAGAAGGAAAGCUUUUCGCAAGAGAGGCGCUGGGAGAUGGGCCUGCGGCCGAUUAGCUAGCUGGUGGGGUAAUGGCCUACCAGGGCGACGAUCGGUAGCUGGUCUGAGAGGACGAUCAGCCACACUGGGAUUGAGAACGGCCCAGACUCCUACGGGGGGCAGCAGUGAGGAAUUUUCGGCAAUGGGGGCAACCCUGACCGAGCAACGCCGCGUGCAGGACGACGGCCUUCGGGUUGUAAACUGCUUUUCUCUGGGACGAGCAAGGACGGUACCAGAGGAAGAAGCCCGGCUAACUACGCGCCAGCAGCCGCGGU
Molecule: ribosomal RNA, 485 nt
Filed under: uncultured bacterium
Lineage: Bacteria
Description: SSU rRNA
Rfam family: Bacterial small subunit ribosomal RNA
Source: RNAcentral